GGCUUACACUUGAUCUCUGAACUUCAGGUAAGUUCUUAUGUUGACAAGUACCUUGCUGAUGCU
This 63-nucleotide small nucleolar RNA is filed under the name Macleaya cordata. Its description in RNAcentral is "Small nucleolar RNA snoR101". It matches the Rfam family "Small nucleolar RNA snoR101". The record is from Rfam by way of RNAcentral. Lineage: Eukaryota; Viridiplantae; Streptophyta; Magnoliopsida; Ranunculales; Papaveraceae.